GACGAACGCUGGCGGCGUGCCUAACACAUGCAAGUCGAACGGAAAGGCCCUGCUUUUGUGGGGUGCUCGAGUGGCGAACGGGUGAGUAACACGUGAGUAACCUGUCCCUGACUUUGGGAUAACUUCAGGAAACUGGGGAUAAUACCGGAUAGGAGCUCUUGCUGCAUGGUGGGGGUUGGUAAGUUUCGGUGGUUGGGGAUGGACUCGCGGCUUACCAGCUUGUUGGUGGGGUAGUGGCUUACCAAGGCUUUGACGGGUAGCCGGCCUGAGAGGGUGACCGGCCACAAUGGUACUGAGAUACGGCCCAGACGCCAACGGGAGGCAGCGGUGGAGAAUAUUGCACAGUGGGCGGAAGCCAGAUGCAGCAACGCCGCGUGCGGGAAGACGGCCUUCGGGUUGUAAACCGCUUUCGCCUGAGACGAAGCGUGAGUGACGGUAAUGGGUAAAGAAGCACCGGCUAACUACGUG
Molecule: ribosomal RNA, 468 nt
Filed under: uncultured bacterium
Lineage: Bacteria
Description: partial 16S ribosomal RNA
Rfam family: Bacterial small subunit ribosomal RNA
Source: RNAcentral